This 107-nucleotide ribosomal RNA is filed under the name Acanthosepion pharaonis. The record is from RNAcentral. Lineage: Eukaryota; Metazoa; Mollusca; Cephalopoda; Sepiida; Sepiidae.
UACAGCCAUAUCACAUUGAAACACUAUUUCUCAUACAAUCACUGAAGUUAAGCAACAUCAAGUCUGGUCAGUACCAAGAUAGGUGACCACUUGGGAAUACCAUGUGC